Molecule: non-coding RNA, 5805 nt
Organism: Phalacrocorax carbo (great cormorant)
Lineage: Eukaryota; Metazoa; Chordata; Aves; Suliformes; Phalacrocoracidae
Source: RefSeq, a predicted model, not a curated record
GAGCCUUGGCACAUACCAAGCUCUCAGUGAAGUCCCCAGCAGGAUGGGGAACCCAACGCAGGCUCAACAACAGUCAUAAAAAUGGAAGAAAAACAGCAUCGCCUUCAGUCCCCGAAGCGUGCACCCAGUGGGAAGCUGCCUGGGAACUGCCUUCCUGUGGGAAAGCACCCAAAGCCUUGUCCUUUUAGCUCUGAAGGGGCUGAGUCUGCUCUACAGAGAUAGGUUUUGAUGGGCUCUUAGCAAAUAAGCUGCGUUUCCCCCCCCUCCCAGCCUGCUCCACCGCCAGCUGGCAUCGUUCGUAAGAAAUGCUGCAACUGGGCCGGGCAGAUAGGCGUGAUGCCAAGACAAGAUGCCUUCUUGUUGACCUAGGAAGAGUAAAAAUGUUGGGCUCAGUAUGGAAAAAAAAAGACCUACUUGGAGGAAGUUAUAAAAAAAAAAAAUAAUAUCACACAAAUACGUCUGUGAACUUGGCCGCUCUACAGCGGCGGUGCCGAAAAUAGCUGCAAAAACCAGGCUGCAUCAUGGUCAGCAAAGCUCCCGAGAGCUGCGGCUUCUGCUGAAGCGUGAGGAGCCAGGGUGUGACAGGAGGAAGGUGAUGCCACAUCUCCUGGCGAGGGCUCGCUGCGUCUUGAGGAAUUCACCUGUUCUAGCAUCUCGCACGUUUGAAGGUCAACUUACACUUAUUGGCUGGGUUUUGGAGGGCUUGAAAAAGUACUUGUAUGAACUUUGGGGAAAAAAAAAAACCAAACAAACCCAGAAGCAAAUGAAACACAAUCUCCGCAGGAAAUUUUGACAUAAUUACUCUGACUCAACUGUUUAAUAUUACCUGUGUUAUGUAACUGUUGGUCUCAACGCUUUCUUCUUAUCUUGUGAGCGUGCUACUGGGCGUUAAUGGAGAUAAAAGGAUUUGUCAGAGAAUGAAAAUGUCAGAAAUAAAGGAGAGGAGCUACUUUGCAGAAUUUCACUCAUCUUCACAGAUUGAAUUUUAAAUUAGUAGAAAUCCGCCCUGGGACAGGGCCGCUGGCGAAGCUGCGGGCUCGUCCGCUCAGCCAGUGUCGCAGGGAGUAGCCAAAGCUAGAGCCAGUUCCCAAAGUGUUCGUGGUCCGGUGGCUCACCAGGACUUUGGUUCAAGACACCCAGCUCUAACCGAUGAGUUCUGGGAGGCGCACGCACAGCCGUGUGGACCAUCUUGAAUAGUGUCUGCCUGUCGGUAAGGAGUUGGUCCAUCUGCCCCAUUGUGUCAGCGGUCCCAUGUGCUGGAGAGGGGAGCAGGUAUGAAACUGGGCUUUUCUUCCAUCAAGAAAAAUGCUUUAAAUCAAGUUCUGUGCAUAUGCUAAGAAAAGAAAAGAAAUACAGGAGAUGAAUAGCGCACAAGCUCAGAGACUCAUGUUAAGCUGCCUUUGAGGCGGUGGGGGCUUACACCAGAAAGAAUAGGACAGUGUUGGGCCUAUUUAUUUUUUAUCCAGAAUUAAUUAAUGGUUUAUUUAGUCAGCAAGGAGUCACAGAAUAAUACAGAUUUAUCUUCUUUUGCAACAGUAAGAUAAAUUUGAUUAAUCUGAUCAUGUGGCCCUGAUGAUUAGUCCAUCUCACAUGACACAGAGCUGUUUGAUCACUGUACUAGAAGGGGUUGUUUCGAGGCCGAGACCUUUCUUUGUAGAUGCUGUGCAGGCAAUGGUUACUUCUGCCAUUAAAUGUCAGGCUCUUCGCUAGUUCUGCUUCCUGCACUAGGCACGGCUCCAGCCUUACCCGGCCUGCUGACGGGGAGAUGUUGCAAGCUUCAAGAGCUCAGAUUUGGUCCUGAGCUUGGACAAUGCUGGUGGUAGAUCGAAGACUGAAACCACCAAGAGAUCAGGUCUUCCCUUCCUGCACGGGUGCUUCUGGUUUACUUCGCGUUAGAGCACAUUUGUGUUCCUGCUGGUUGGCAACGAGAUCCUGGAGUCCACCAUUAGCUUGACUAAGAGCUAGGUCAGGGGUCCCCUACAUGGCCAUCUGCUCCCGCUGGCAGGGAGGGGAGGCGAAGUGAUGGAGACCCCAGUGACACCCGUUGCAAACUGGGCAGUGUGGUGUUUGGAGCCCGUGGAGAGAUUCACUGGGGUGGGGGACGGGGACCGCUAAGAUGGUAUUCUGUAAGCAUCCAAAAUAAUGGCUGUCUCAAAGGGUCUGAACUGGUCUAGUUGCGUGGUACCCUGGGUGCCUGGAGACACCUUGGAAGGCGUGCUGCUUCACCAGGGACCUCGCCAAUACUUUCCCCAUCUUUUCACCUGCUGAGCAAAGCCUUCAGUGUGGCAACGAGCACGAGGGACGAAGUGCAGCUCGGGCGGCUCACAGAGCACAAGCCUUUGUGUCACCUGAGUUCUAGGAAAUGAGGUUACUGCAAGAGGUAUCCCCUUGCAAGGGAGAUGUGUCCAAACCUAUCUGACACCUGAGGCUGCCUGAAAUCAAACCUCGGUGCUGUAUGUUGCUUUGCUGCAGCCAUCCAAGAAGGUCUGGGAGGCUAAAUUUUGUUGAUGGCUUGGUUGAAAGAUCUGCAUUCCCGGGCACGGCGGGUUUCCCCCAUGGACCAUUAUCGUCUCCUGGCUCCGUGGACCGUUACCGGCUCAGGGAUGAAGCGUGAAGAGCAGAACCUCGCUGUGCACAACCCGAGUGUUGGGAGAUGCUCCACUCCUGCCCCAGCCUGACACCCUGUGCGACUUUGCAUCAAACCACUCGGUCUCUUUGCGUCGCUGUACCUAGCCAUCCUCGCCCGGGGUAAUUCCAGCUUCCCUGCUCGCACGGAGCUGGUAGGGGAAUUUCAAGCUUCGGCGGUGGAUUCACACGUGGAAGCGGAGCUCUGCGUGCUGUGCUCCACGAGGGGAAGCAGCUUGUGGGAAAGCACUUGAUGCAUGGUUUAUACCCAGAAGAGUCAUGGGAUGAAGCCAAGGCUGGGAAACUUUCCCCAUGGAAGUGGGGAUGUGGAGGGGGUUUCUGGGGAAGGAGCAGUCGAUGGUCCGCACAGCCAGCAGCUCCGGCGCUCCCGACCAGCGGCUCGGCGACGGCCAAGGGAAAGCUCUCGCCAUCCGGCGCCUGUUGGGUGUCUACCGUGACAAGGGGACUCCGCAGGGAAAUGCAGAAGAAAGGCGGUCAAGUUAGUCCUGAAUCCGAAUUCAGGCUCACAGCCAUGUGCUUUGCAAAUGGUAAAGAUUAAGAUCUUGAUUUUGGCAUUUCUUGUGCAAUCUGCAGCCAGAACGUGGCCUGUGUCUGCUCGGUGUGCAAGCCUUGGGAAGGCUGGCAUGCUGCGUGUGUAUUUUUAGGUCACUUCCAGAGAAGUGGUUUCAUUUCAAUGGAACCAGCUGGCUGCCUUGGCACUCAGCCGUGUUGUAAUGGGGAUGAAGGGGAGCCUCCACCUUACAACAUCUUGCUGCCAAAGGUUUGACUUCGCUCACGCAUCUGUUACUGCUUGAUUUAUCUUCACUGACGUUCAGGCUCUGACCCUACCAAGAUCAUUAUCAGACUGUUUCUGGAUUUCACUGGCCAGAUGCUCAAAAGCAGGAGCCCCCAGCAAGGGCUUCCUCUACCUAACACAAAAUAAAGACCAACCUGUGCUGAAAUAAUUCAUCCCACUUUAAUCCCUCUCUUCAGGAGGUCUCUCUGCCUUCCUGGAACAACCUGGUUCAUUAGAAAUUGGGCUUUUGAAUGCAUUAGAAAUAUAGACCUCCUAUUGCCACAGGCACGAGGGGACAUGGCAGAAUGAACGUGCAUGUGGUAGCUUAAUAACCUAGUCUUCUGGGGUUGUCAGACUUUUUGCAGGAGGUUUGAAACAGGGACCAGUUUUAUCUCACACCAGGCACCAGCUCCUCAACUAGCUGUGCAACUCCAUAUAGAUUUCUCAGUGUAAAAUACAGUACUGCACAAUAAUCGGAUAUUAUUUAGAAAGCAUUUGGUAAGUAACAUCUGCUGCACUGAAAAUUAAAUUAAGUGUGUUAAAUAGUAGUUUAAAGAAAACAGGUUUGGGGGAAAAAAAUCUUUGAAGAAACCUAUUUUAGUUCAGAUUUCAGAUUUAAAUUUCCUCAAAGAUACCAUCAGGAUUCAUUUCUCCUUUGCACAUGUAACAUAUUUGUUCAUAUAUGCCAUUAUACAGCUCCGUUCAAGCUGAAUAUUAUACUGGAAUACAGCAAAAGACAAAUUUGAGAUAUGAAACUGGAGGAGACCAUAUUUCAUACUGCAUAAAAUGCACCUCUGGAAUUUUCAGUUCUUGUUUUCUGCAGUAUUACAAAUGUCUCCAUAAAGUAUCAUGGCUGAUGAGCUGGGGGAAAAAAAAAAAAGAAAAAAGAAAAAAAAAAAGAAAAAAGAAAAAAAAACCUUGUGGCUUUGGAUAUAUUCACUUCAAGUUUGUGGUUAGUAUUUCCCAGGCUGCUUGAGGUGAGGGUAAGUUCAGUCAUUGCACCGCUGCUUCACUAGUCUCUGCUGGUGUUUCUAAAUGAUUCUGAUAAAAGAUUGUGAAAAAUGGGCCUGUGGUAAAUUGCAUCAUCCUUGUUAUGCAUUUCAAGAUGGGGCCACAACACAGGCUGUGUGUCCAGGUCACGCUCAGCCUUCCCUCGCACUCCUCCUCCAUCCCUGCAGCAGGCACCGGCGCGGUCCAGCCGGCACAGCCCACGCCGGGCGGUGCGAACCCGCUGCAUUCUGCCGUGAAUUAACGGCGGAUCCGGGCGUCUCUGGCCAUGCCGGUUCCCUCUUUUGCACUAGAAAUUUUGCAUUAGCUGGUGGUCAUGGAGAUGCCAGAUUUCACUUUGAUAGAAGAGAAAAAGCUGCUCCGGGUAGAAGCGCCCAGCCACUGUGCACAGGACCCCCGGCAGCUACAGGUGUUCAGGUGGGGUGAGACUGAUUUGAACUGAGAAACCCUAGGACAGCACUCCACUUUCUCACUGCCUGUGCCCUGAACUGGCCAACCGCUCUUUAAACCCCUUUCUUUCCAAAAUACAGAGCUUUUUCCUUCUCAAUCUUUGAGAGGUUUUACUUUAACCUCAUUAAACUUCAUUGCCAAAAUCCAAAGCAGGUUGAGAUGAAGCAGCCGAUACCCGAGAACACGAGUUACAAAUUGGCGCCGAAGAACCGCUUGCAGUAAAACAGCCUCUCCGUACGCGUCUUUAAACACCGUUCGUCGCCGCGAGUUACCAUGGGAAGAAGUGGGGAGUCCCUGGUUUGGCAGAGUUACGUUUGAAAUUAAACCAAGCCCAGCCUCUCUGGGUGCAGCCAGGGCUGCUGUCUGCUGGCUCGUUGCAUGAGGCUGCUUGUUGUGGUGCUGGGAUAUAGUCAUGUCUUUUAUUUGUAUGUAAAUAGAAGAAAGCAGAAACAUAAACCCUCACAUGUACUUGGCUAUUCUAAAAUAAACCCACACAACCACACAUUUUGAGAGAGGUAACGCAGAUGCUACAACCAUAGCGAGUGUGAGCAUCCCUGCUCGCUGCCUGCUGCGCCGGCUUGUGCUGUCCCCACAGGUGCGAGCCUGGGGUUACGUUACUCUGGGGUGUCCUGUGAUCCCCACGCCCAAACCUGUCCUGCUUUCAGCUGGGAUAGGGGUGAUUUCCCUCCUAGUAGCUGGUACAGUGCUGUGGUCUGGAGCUCGGAUGAGAACAACGUUGGUAACACACCGAUGGCUUAGUUGCUGCUGAGCCAAGGACGUUUCAGCUUCUCGUGCUCUGCUGACCGAGAAGGCUGGAGAUGCCCGAGAAGCCGGAGGGGGCACAGCCGGGACAGCUGGCCCCAGCUGGCCCAAGGGAUGUUCCGUGCCGUACGAUGCCGUGCUGGGUGUGUAAACCAGGGGCGAGC